Molecule: long non-coding RNA, 2302 nt
Filed under: Triticum aestivum (bread wheat)
Lineage: Eukaryota; Viridiplantae; Streptophyta; Magnoliopsida; Poales; Poaceae
Description: long non-coding RNA (TAES_LNC008531)
Source: RNAcentral
GCCCGACCACGACGACGCACCACACAAGGUACCUGCUCCCUAUCCUCUUCUCAUUCUGCUCUAACCUGCACCUAAAUUCAGACAAAGGCAACCUUUUUGACACAAUAUCUGAAGUGCAGUUUUGCCACUUGUACUCCCUCGGCAGUUAGUGGAGUACACCUGAGUACUCCACUGUUAUCUGAAUGUUUCCAGAUUACAUUAGAUGUGAUGUUUCUAGGCAAACUGUAAUCUGAAUUACGCCGUAAUCUGAAUGUUUCCAGGAAAAUAGUUUAAUGUUUCAAGGCAAAGAUUACACCGUAAUCCCGGAGUACUCUGCCGUGAUCUGAAUGUUUCCAGAUUGCCACUUGUAAUGUGUGUGAGUACUGAAUUUGCUCUAGAGUUCUUCUUAUCGAUUCAUCAGGCAGUACCGAUGGGGAGUAGUAGUGUGUUCUGUCACAUUUGACAUUAGAGUACUCUGAAUCUAGUGUACUCUGAAUUUAGUAAGGAGGUUCAGUUAGCACCGAACCUUAGCUAAGUAAAAGUUCAGUGAGUAGACUUUAGCUAAGUAAAAGUUCAGUGAGUAGACUUCUCUAAAUUUCAGAGUUCAUGUUACUGUACUGACUAAAUUUAGUUUGAAAAUUCAGUUUCUAUACUGAUGUUACGUCAGAAUUUAGUUGGGGUACGUGCACCAUUUGGAUGCUCAGUUGGAGUUUAGGAUUACAUGAGCUGUGUUCUAAAGCUACUCCAUGUUGACAUGUUUCUUAAACUUUCUUAAAAUUGAUGGAGUUGCUGUUUAUUCUGUUGUAAAUUGCUCAUGUCCAGAUUAGUGCCUGACCAGAGUACAACCAAAUUGCUAUAGUAAAUUGCUCCAAAUUACUCCUGCUCCUAUAAUGAAUUCAAAUACUCAAAAUAAAUUCAACUAAAUUCCAAUAAAUAUUCAAAAUAAAUUAUCUAGUUUAUUCAAAAUACCAUGACAUACACAUACACAUACACAUAGUCCAAUUGACAUACACAUAGAUCUUCCCUUUCCUUUCCUUUCCUUUCACAAGACAUACACAUACAUAUACUCCAAUUGGACUAGAUCUUCCCUUUCCUUUCCAUUCACAACACAUACACAUACAUAUACUCCAAUUGACAUACGCACAUUCUCCAAUUGACAUACACAUAGAUCUUUCCUUCACAUUCACAAGACAUUCCCUCUAUUGCCCUUCUUCUAUAAAGGCCCUGGUCUCAGCAACUAGCUGUGCAUCGCAAGAUAGAAAGAUUAUUGGCCUUCCCUCAUUUUGACGUCGAUCCUUGUGCAGGUGUGGGAGCUUGUAGUUAUUUCCUCCUUUGAUUUUCAUGACCUCAACCAUAACUCCUUGUAGUGUCACAAAGCUUCUAAAUAUUCUUUCCUCUUUCUGCCACUUCUUCUCUUCUUUUUAUUUGAGACAUCCACUUCUAGGCCUUCUGCAAUUUGUGUAUUUGCAACGGACCAUAUUCUUUCUACUGUUCGUACGGUUGUAUUCAACAGGGUUGCAACGAGUAGCUUGUCAUCUGGGCAAAUAUCUCCAUCUCUGCUCUGGAUUACUCUCAAGGCAAAAUAAACACCAAACCUUUGCUCAUUUCUCAGGUUUACUGCACUUCUUUUUUUUGCUUCCCCUUGAUCAAUUGCUUCCUCCUCAUGAAUAUCUUCGUCCUCAUGAAUUGCUUCUUGCUGAUCUCUUGGAGGACUGAAGUUGAGGUCCAGGAACAUAUCUCCUGAUGAAAAGGGGCAAGAAGCAAGUCAACUAGCUAUGCAGCCAAACCAUAGACACAUUCAAUUAACACUUAUUGAAACACUAACUGAAAAUCCGGUUAACACUAAUUUAAAAUUCUGUUAACACUGACUGAAAAUUCAGUUAACAUUUGCAGCAUGUUUACAGUAAAUUCACAGCAUGUUUGCCGUCAUAUUGUUGGAGUAUUUACCUGCUGCAUCAACCUCUUCCUGAUGAUGUUCCUCUUCCUGAUGAUUUUCAGGUACUCCAUCCUCCUCUUGUGGAGGAGUCAAGUUCAGAUCUGCCAUCUCUAUGGUGAUGAAUCUACUCGUGAGUAGCUUCCUGAAUUGAGGUAGAUCAUGAUCAUAAGCACACUAUGCACCAUUUGCUAUUGUUCUCACAACAAGGUCUAUGUAAACUGCAUCAUGCAUCAUGGAUUUAAAUGCUCUAGUUAAGUGUAAAUUGCAUCAUGCAUCAUGCUGCCUAUUAGCAAGUUGGAGUUAAAUGCAUCAUGUACCAUCAGAUUCUACUAAAUGCAUCAUGCACAACAUUAUCAUGCAUUAGUUUUGUUUGUUUGAGAAAAUACA